GAUGAACGCUGGCGGCGUGCCUAAUACAUGCAAGUCGAGCGAACAGACGAGGAGCUUGCUCCUCUGACGUUAGCGGCGGACGGGUGAGUAACACGUGGAUAACCUACCUAUAAGACUGGGAUAACUUCGGGAAACCGGAGCUAAUACCGGAUAAUAUAUUGAACCGCAUGGUUCAAUAGUGAAAGACGGUUUUGCUGUCACUUAUAGAUGGAUCCGCGCCGCAUUAGCUAGUUGGUACGGUAACGGCUUACCAAGGCAACGAUGCGUAGCCGAGCUGAGAGGGUGAUCGGCCACACUGGAACUGAGACACGGUCCAGACUCCUACGAGAGGCAGCAGUAGGGAAUCUUCCGCAAUGGGCGAAAGCCUGACGGAGCAACGCCGCGUGAGUGAUGAAGGUCUUCGGAUCGUAAAACUCUGUUAUUAGGGAAGAACAAAUGUGUAAGUAACUAUGCACGUCUUGACGGUACCUAAUCAGAAAGCCACGGCUAACUACGUG
RNAcentral lists this ribosomal RNA (497 nucleotides) under uncultured bacterium. RNAcentral describes it as "partial 16S ribosomal RNA". It matches the Rfam family "Bacterial small subunit ribosomal RNA", at positions 28 to 507 of the family's 1533-position model. The record is from RNAcentral.